GUCCUCCAGCUGCUUUUCCUGAUAUUGGUAGAGCUUUUUUGUUGGCUGCGCCUCAUGGUAUGUGGUAUCUUAGGUUUGCAACCAGGGAUGAAACCAACUUGAGCUGCGGUGAAAGUGUGGUGUCUUAACCCCAGCACCACCAGGAUUUACAGCCUCAGCGUUGACUCCAGAUUCAGCCCUUGCCAUCUUGCUCCCCACCUUGAGAGCAGCAGCACCAAAAAUAGCAGCAUGAGUCACUGAAGCAUCGGGCAUCGUCGUCAAGGGCCAGGACGCCUGCUGCGGUGGAGCUUCUGCUUGAUUUCCAGGGACCUGGGGAAGGGAACCCUGGCCAGCUGGCCCCCAUCACUGCCUCCUGGACCCUGGGGGAGAGCUGAGUUCACUAAGAAAUUUGAAGCCUGAACUGGUGGAAAUGUUAAUGUUCAGAAUGGCUUUACCAUGACACUGCAUAAGGACCUCAGGGUCCCUCAUUUGCACCCCUUCUAAAGUUCUAUACUUUUUUUUUUUUACACUGUAUUUUAUUUUUCUUUUCUGAAAGAGGGCUCUCAAAGUUUUAUGUUUCAGGUCUGAGAAAACAAGCAUGGGUUAAUUUUGUUUAAUUCUUAUUGUGACCUUGGGAAACCAUUGGCUUGUCUUCUCUAUUUACAGACAAAGGAUACGAGAGCAGAGAAAAGCCUUCCUUGGGUUCCUGGAAAAUUCCAGCUCCAUCACAGCUUUCCUGGAAUCCUGCCACGGCCAACUAGGAGGUCCCCUGGGCUUUCAGCCUCGUCCCUGACACAGCAGUCAGGGGGAUCCUGAUAAACCUGUCAGAUCACAUCACUUUCCUGCUCAAAAUCCGCUGGCAUGUUCCAAAGUGAACACAACGCCAUCUCAUACUGCAGGGUCUCCUGCCCACCCCUAGUUCCUCUAGUCGCCCCUCCUUCCUACCCCCGCCAUUUUGGCUACCCCAAGGCCU
Long non-coding RNA from Bos taurus (domestic cattle), 952 nucleotides. The record is from Ensembl. Lineage: Eukaryota; Metazoa; Chordata; Mammalia; Artiodactyla; Bovidae.